Molecule: long non-coding RNA, 1199 nt
Filed under: Bemisia tabaci
Lineage: Eukaryota; Metazoa; Arthropoda; Insecta; Hemiptera; Aleyrodidae
Description: lncRNA ENSSWEETPG000091
Source: RNAcentral
UGCUCAGUUCAUGGGACUGAGCAAAAACAUUUACUAGUUCUCGGACGGACUGGGCAAUUUUGCCCAUGGAGUGUAAUUUAUUGUUACGCAUAUUCAGAUCAGAAAAUCUGCAAAUGAUUGGGAUAACUUGAUUAGCCAAUAAGUUCUGGAUUGUAACGCAUAUCGCACAAGCAAAACGUUUAUUCUGAGUUUGAGGUAAAAACUUAAUAAAAGUCUCAAUGCAAAAUAUUUUACAGAGCGUUUCAAUACAUCAUAACCGAUUGGGUGGAACUAUUGAUCUGCUGAGAGUCCCAGGAUUUGACGAUGUUUCGAAAUCUCAAAUCAAUGCACCAAAGCUAAGGGUAAUUCAUAACUUUUGCCGGACCUCUAACUUUAAAGAGUCAGCAUGGGAGUGAAUUGACAUUCAAGCUUUUGGAGUCAGGCGUAGUUACACCAUUGAUUGAGGUAGACUCUGGCACGUAAGUCAUUCAUUCGCUUACCCGAAAACCUAAAAUUUUAUGUAGAGGAGAACAAACUGCUAUCUUUCAGAGGCCUGCGGAAAUAAUUUGUCGGCCUCUCAAAGCAGAUGGUUUCAAUACGUAAAAGUCACUGGAAAAAUAAUCGUAAAUACUUCUAAAAUACAGCGAAGACCAAUUUGAGCGAGGAUCCCCCCGUUUUGAUCCCAUUUUGGUUUUGUAAGUACCACUGGAUUGUAAGAGAAGGCGAUGCAAGAGCUUUCUGAACCUUUUUAUGGAUUUAAUUUUAAUGUCCUUUUUGAUACCGAAUUUUCUCGUACGUUAUAUAUUGUGUCCUUGUUUUUUUCAAAUUAUAAAUUUAGUUAUCAAUAAUAUUUCAGUUAUGAUGCCAUGUAUGGAGAUCAACUGGUUCUCUCGGAUCUUCAGAUUAAGAGUGGAGGGGUCUAUACAUUGAUAAUACAGAAGAUAGAUUCCAGAAUUGUUGGUAAUCUACACACAAUCACGCCACCAGCUACAUUACACUUGCUGUGGAUGAUACCUCAAAAAACCAUCAUGUCGAUCGCUGAAGUAUUUUUUGCGAUGACCUAUGUAUCAUUCACUUUCACUCAGGUAGGUUUCUAUUUAUUACUUCUAACCCCAGAAAAUAACAUUUUAAGAGAGGCGCUUAUUAAUGCAUUCAACCGAUUUAUAGAGGUGCUUGUUCAAAAAUUCAGUGUCAAUGCAGUUUGCCAUGUGAACAAAGGA